AUUGAACGCUGGCGGCAGGCCUAACACAUGCAAGUCGAGCGGAGCGGCGGACGGGUGAGUAAUGCCUAGGAAUCUGCCUGGUAGUGGGGGAUAACGUCCGGAAACGGGCGCUAAUACCGCAUACUAUCAGAUGAGCCUAGGUCGGAUUAGCUAGUUGGUGGGGUAAAGGCCUACCAAGGCGACGAUCCGUAACUGGUCUGAGAGGAUGAUCAGUCACACUGGAAAUGAGACACGGUACAGACGCCUACGGGAGGCAGCGGGGGGGAAUAUUGGACAAUGGGCGAAAGCCGGAGCAAGCCAGGCGGCGGGUGUGAAGAAGGUCUUCGGAUUGUAAAGCACUGUAAGUUGGGAGGCGUUACCAGCAGAAUAAGCACCGGCGAACUACGUGCCAGCAGCCGCGGUAAUAC
This 407-nucleotide ribosomal RNA is filed under the name uncultured bacterium. RNAcentral's name for it is "partial 16S ribosomal RNA". It matches the Rfam family "Bacterial small subunit ribosomal RNA", at positions 29 to 526 of the family's 1533-position model. The record is from RNAcentral.